AACGAACGCUGGCGGCAGGCUUAACACAUGCAAGUCGAACGGGCGUAGCAAUACGUCAGUGGCAGACGGGUGAGUAACACGUGGGAACCUUCCUAGGGGGUACGGAACAACUCAGGGAAACUUGAGCUAAUACCGUAUACGUCCGUGAGGAGAAAGAUUUAUCGCCCUUAGACGGGCCCGCGUCGGAUUAGCUAGUUGGUGGGUAACGGCCUACCAAGGCGACGAUCCGUAGCUGAUCUGAGAGGAUGAUCAGCCACACUGGGACUGAGACGCGGCCCAGACUCCUACGGGAGGCAGCAGUGGGGAAUCUUGGACAAUGGGCGCAAGCCUGAUCCAGCCAUGCCGCGUGAGUGAAGAAGGCCUUCGGGUUGUAAAGCUCUUUGUUCAGGGACGAUAAUGACGGUACCUGAAGAAUAAGCCCGGCUAACUCGUGCCAGCAGCCGCGGUAAU
This 450-nucleotide ribosomal RNA is filed under the name uncultured bacterium. Its description in RNAcentral is "bacterial SSU rRNA". It matches the Rfam family "Bacterial small subunit ribosomal RNA", at positions 29 to 524 of the family's 1533-position model. The record is from RNAcentral.